UAGGGAAUCUUCGGCAAUGGACGAAAGUCUGACCGAGCAACGCCGCGUGAGGGAAGAAGGUUUUCGGAUCGUAAAACUCUGUUGUUAGAGAAGAACAAGGACGUUAGUAACUGAACGUCCCCUGACGGUAUCUAACCAGAAAGCCACGGCUAACUACGUGCCAGCAGCCGCGGUAAUACGUAGGUGGCAAGCGUUGUCCGGAUUUAUUGGGCGUAAAGCGAGCGCAGGCGGUGUCUUAAGUCUGAUGUGAAAGCCCCCGGCUCAACCGGGGAGGGUCAUUGGAAACUGGGAGACUUGAGUGCAGAAGAGGAGAGUGGAAUUCCAUGUGUAGCGGUGAAAUGCGUAGAUAUAUGGAGGAACACCAGUGGCGAAGGCGGCUCGCUGGUCUGUAACUGACGCUGAGGCUCGAAAGCGUGGGGAGCAAACAGG
Molecule: ribosomal RNA, 429 nt
Filed under: Gemmatimonadota bacterium
Lineage: Bacteria; Pseudomonadati; Gemmatimonadota
Description: Gemmatimonadetes bacterium partial 16S ribosomal RNA
Rfam family: Bacterial small subunit ribosomal RNA
Source: RNAcentral